This 1470-nucleotide ribosomal RNA is filed under the name uncultured Bordetella sp. RNAcentral describes it as "partial 16S-23S ribosomal RNA intergenic spacer". It matches the Rfam family "Bacterial small subunit ribosomal RNA". Lineage: Bacteria; Pseudomonadati; Pseudomonadota; Betaproteobacteria; Burkholderiales; Alcaligenaceae. The record is from RNAcentral.
GGUUUGAUCCUGGCUCAGAUUGAACGCUGGCGGGAUGCUUUACACAUGCAAGUCGAACGGCAGCACGGACUUCGGUCUGGUGGCGAGUGGCGAACGGGUGAGUACGUAUCGGAACGCCUAGUAGCGGGGGAUAACUACGCGAAAGCGUAGCUAAUACCGCAUACGCCCUUCGGGGGAAAGCGGGGGGACCUUCGGGCCUCGCACUAUUAGAGCGGCCGAUAUCGGAUUAGCUAGUUGGUGGGGUAACGGCUCACCAAGGCGACGAUCCGUAGCUGGUUUGAGAGGACGACCAGCCACACUGGGACUGAGACACGGCCCAGAUCCGCCGGAGGCAGCAGUGGGGAAUUUUGGACAAUGGGAAACCCCGAUCCCGAAGUCGCAUCCCGCGUGUGCGAUGAAGGCCUUCGGGCUAAAAAGCACUUUUUGGCAGGAAGAAACGGCACGGAUAACACCCGCAACGACGGUACCAGAUAUUGCUACACCGGCUAACUACGUGCCAGCAGCCGCGGUAAUGUAGGGUGCAUAAGCGUUAAUCGGAAUUACUGGGCGUAAAGCGUGCGCAGGCGGUUCGGAAAGAAAGAUGUGAAAUCCCAGAGCUUAACUUUGGAACUGCAUUUUUAACUACCGGAGCUAGAGUGUCAGAGGGAGGUGGAAUUCGCGUGUAGCAGUGAAAUGCGUAGAUAUGCGGAGGAACAGACCGAUGGCGAAGGUGCAGCCUUGGGAUAACACUAAUGCUCAUGCACGAAAGCGUGGGGACAAACAGGAUUAGAUAAUUGGUAGUCCACGCCCAAAACGAUACCACCACGUUGGGGCCUUUCGGCCUCGGUAGCGCAGCUAACGCGUGAAGUUGACCGCCGGUUUGGGAGUAAUGGCCGUGAGAUUAAACCUAAAGGAAUUGACGGGGACCCGCAACAAGCGGUGGAUGAUGUGGAUUAAUUUGAUGCAACGCGAAAACCUUACCUUACCCUUGACAUGUCUGGAAUCCCGCGACGAGUGCUCGCAAGAGAACCGAACACAGGUGCUGCAUGGCUGCUGCCACAGCUCGUGUCGAGAUGUUGGGUUAAGUCCCGCAACGAGCGCAACCCUUGUCAUUAGUUGCUACGAAAGGGCACUCUAAUGAGACUGCCGGUGACAAACCGGAGGAAGGUGGGGAUGACGUCAAGUCCUCAUGGCCCUGGUGCGGGCUUCACACGCCGCGUUGGCACGGUCGGGACAGAGGGUCGCCAACCCGCGAGGGGGAGCCAAUCCCAGAACCCGAUCGUAGUCCGGAUCGCAGUCUGCAACUCGACUGCGUGAAGUCGGAAUCGCUAGUAAUCGCGGAUCAGCAUGUCGCGGUGAAUACGUUCCCGGGUCUUGUACACCGCCCGUCACACCAUGGAGUGGGUUUUACCAGAAGUAGUUAGCCUAACCGUAAGGGAGGGCGAUUACCACGGUAGGAUUCAUGACUGGGGUGAAGUCGUAACAAGGUAA